RNAcentral lists this ribosomal RNA (429 nucleotides) under uncultured bacterium. RNAcentral describes it as "bacterial SSU rRNA". It matches the Rfam family "Bacterial small subunit ribosomal RNA", at positions 355 to 776 of the family's 1533-position model. The record is from RNAcentral.
UUAGGAAUAUUCGUCAAUGGGGGAAACCCUGAACGAGCAAUGCCGCGUGAGUGAUGAAGGCCCUAUGGGUUGUAAAACUCUGUUGUAAAGGAAGAACACCUAGCAUAGGAAAUGAUGCUAGAUUGACGGUACUUUACCAGAAAGCCCCGGCUAACUACGUGCCAGCAGCCGCGGUAAUACGUAGGGGGCGAGCGUUAUCCGGAUUUAUUGGGCGUAAAGGGUGUGUAGGCGGUUUGUUAAGUCUAAAAUCAAAGCCCGAGGCUUAACCUCGGUUCGUUUUAGAAACUGGCAAACUAGAGUGCAGUAGAGGCAAGUGGAAUUUCUAGUGUAGCGGUUAAAUGCGUAGAUAUUAGAAGGAACACCAGUGGCGAAGGCGGCUUGCUGGGCUGUAACUGACGCUGAGACACGAAAGCGUGGGGAGCAAAUAGG